UUAGGCUUAUAUCGAAGCCACCUAUGCUCUUGUGUUUAGGAAUGGUCAAAAAUAAGCCUAAAUCAAGUCUUUGCAUUUGGUCGCAUGUCCUCGGUUUUUAAGAGUUCAUGCAUUACCCAUGUAAAGGACAUCU
Molecule: small nucleolar RNA, 133 nt
Organism: Argiope bruennichi
Lineage: Eukaryota; Metazoa; Arthropoda; Arachnida; Araneae; Araneidae
Source: RefSeq, a predicted model, not a curated record